UGCUCUCGCAUGGGGGUGGGUGGAAAGAUUUAUCGGUGCAGGAUGGGCCCGCGGCCUAUCAGCUUGUUGGUGGGGUAAUGGCCUACCAAGGCGACGACGGGUAGCCGACCUGAGAGGGUGACCGGCCACACUGGGACUGAGACACGGCCCAGACUCCUACGGGAGGCAGCAGUGGGGAAUAUUGCACAAUGGGCGAAAGCCUGAUGCAGCGACGCCGCGUGAGGGAUGAAGGCCUUCGGGUUGUAAACCUCUUUCAGCAGGGACGAAGCGCAAGUGACGGUACCUGCAGAAGAAGCACCGGCUAACUACGUGCCAGCAGCCGCGGUAAUACGUAGGGUGCGAGCGUUGUCCGGAAUUACUGGGCGUAAAGAGUUCGUAGGCGGUUUGUCGCGUCGUUUGUGAAAACCCGGGGCUCAACUUCGGGCU
RNAcentral lists this ribosomal RNA (426 nucleotides) under Rhodococcoides kyotonense. RNAcentral describes it as "bacterial SSU rRNA". It matches the Rfam family "Bacterial small subunit ribosomal RNA", at positions 181 to 621 of the family's 1533-position model. The record is from RNAcentral. Lineage: Bacteria; Bacillati; Actinomycetota; Actinomycetes; Mycobacteriales; Nocardiaceae.